CACUUGCUGUCCUAGGGCUCAAGUUGCUCAAUACAUGAAGACUGAGUGAAGAGUGCGCAAUUUCCAGUGUUAUCAUAUUCGUUGUCUUGCUAAGGCAAUCUGCAUCAGAAGAUAAAGGGUUGUUCCAUAUUCUUAUCUAGACGUUCCAGGAUCUUUCCAAUAAUAAGCUCAGUGGUUCUAUCCCAUUUUCUCUUGGUGACUUGGAACAUCUGCUAAAGCUGUGAGUGUCAUAAACUAGAAAACAACGAUCACAUGGAGAUGGGAGAGAAGUCAGAUGUCUACAGCUAUGGAAUUGUUUUACUGGAGUUGCUGACU
Molecule: long non-coding RNA, 315 nt
Organism: Eucalyptus grandis
Lineage: Eukaryota; Viridiplantae; Streptophyta; Magnoliopsida; Myrtales; Myrtaceae
Exons: 3
Source: RefSeq, a predicted model, not a curated record